Camelus dromedarius (Arabian camel) is the source of this 2132-nucleotide long non-coding RNA. RefSeq lists it as uncharacterized. NCBI's taxonomy places the organism in Eukaryota, Metazoa, Chordata, Mammalia, Artiodactyla, Camelidae. The record is from RefSeq and is a predicted model, not a curated record. The transcript has 3 exons.
UGUAACUAAGAUCCAUGCACAGGAAAGGACUGCCUGAGGUGAAGUUUUCCAAGUUAUCACAUACUGGAGGAGAGAGAGAGUGAAGAAUGGCAUUCAAGUCUGCAGCCAACUGAGAGCUUGCCCAGUUUCCUCCCUGGACGACACCUGGAGUGAACUUACCAAUCAUGUCUGUGUCAACAGCUCGGUCAUAAUAGUAAGAGAAGGCAUAGAAGGAGCUUCUCUGGACCUCAUCUGGCUGAUGAAGCUUUCCUUGCACCACCCUCAGCACUUCAGUGUAGCAGGGCUCAAAGCCCACCGCCCCUGCUGGGGCAAAGGUGCACAGGAACAAGGUGAGAACGUGAGAUGCAAGCUGCUGAAGCCAAAGAAGAAACAGCAGGAGGAUCAAGGCGAGCUGAGGCUCAGGACAAAGGGCUCACAGACAAAGCUGGGCAAACUUCUGCAGCCUCAUCACCCUGGAGGAAAGGACCCUGCUUCUCCACAGCGGCUCUGUCUCUAAACUGUGUUCACCAAAACCAGCCACAGCCGACCUCAAGCUGCUGCCAAGCACUACGUGUCACAGUAUUCAUGAGAACGGUAGGCAGAGGUCCGUCUGCUUCCUUCGCUAGAAACAUCAAGUUCUUUCUGUGAGUUUAGGUCUAUGCCUUUCUUAAUACCUAACAUCAAUUAUUCUUCCUGUCAUCUUAAUUUCCAGUUUUACUAUAAUUGAAAUAGCUAAACAUUAAUUGAACCCGGAACAGUUUCACCCUGCUGAGGGGCAGGGACUCUGAAUACAUCAGACUAGGGUGAGAAAAGGUUUCUAAGGGAUCUACGAUACAGGCAAGGGAAGAGCUGAAUGCAGAAUGACGGCUGCCUGUUCGCAGUCACCUCACAUCACUCCUCAGGGGUAUACCAAGAUCUAUUAGAAUUAGUUCCUGCAAAAGACAAGCUUCCCGGGGGCGGAGGGUGGGAAGGGGUAGAUGGGAUUUCAAAAUUGUAGAAUAGAUAAACAAGAUUAUACUGUAUAGCACAGGGAUAUAUACACAAGAUCUUAUGGUAGCUCACAGAGAAAAAAAUAUGACAAUGAAUAUAUAUAUGUUUGUGUAUGACUGAAAAAUUGUGCUCUACACUGGAAUUUGGCACAACAUUGUAAAAUGAUUACACAUCAAAAAAAAAAAAAAAAAAAAAAAAAAAAGACAAGCUUCCCUUGAGCUCUGGAAAAAGUUUCCCAUGGGACUUUUCCAGACUUGUACUGUAAAAGUAACUUCAACCAGUGAAAAAAUAUCACUUGCCUUCUUGGUUGCCACCAUACUGGUAUUUCACGCCCCCAAAGAUCCACUCUGCUUCCAGCCAUCUCGGUAGACAGGCACUCCGGAAAGUGUGUCCAUCGAUUCCUGAAAGAAAUCAGACCACAAAGUAAGAGGCAAGGGUGGGAGAGAGAAAAAGAGGAAGGCAAGCAAGAAGCCAAUAAGGUUGACAGGAAUUAUCAAGGUGGCAGGAAUUCUUAACUCAGGGUUUGUAGAUGGGUUCUGUGGGGUUGGUGGACCCCCUGAAACUACAGAUAAAUUUCUGUGCAUAUGUGCAUUUGGCAGAAGGGUUGAUGAUUUUCAUCACAUCUCAAAGAAAUCUAAAACCAACAAUGGGAAUAAGUUACUGCCUUUCUAAAAAAAGGAAAAAAUACUGUCCUACUUUUCCCAUUGGUUGUUGUGAGAUUUAAAGAAAAUACACUUGAAAAUGUAAACUCUGAAAUACUAUACAAUUAUCAUCACAAUAAUACCUUAUUGUGAACCAUGCACCACACAAAGUACAUUAAAUGCAAAAUCUCUUUUAUUUUAAGGUAAAGAAAGGGGCACAGAAAAGUGAGCUAGCUGGCUCCAAAUCUCAAGACUGGAACUGACCCUAGUUCUGCCUGACCCCAGAAGCUGAGCUCUUAACCCUUUUACCACCAGUGACGAGAGGAAUGGAAUUGUUCAGUUAUUUCACUUUGUAAAUGAACUGCUGCUGCCUGUACCUCCCAGAAUCACGGCAGAGGGCGGGUAAAGGCAAGCUGAGCACUGGUGUCACUCUCACCCAACCAGCACCGGUACCCAGACGAACCUUCCGUCUCCAGGGCUCCCAGGGUUGCUAGUCUUGCAGCUUUCAAUCCAAAUCCCAAG